GUCCACUCAUCUGACUGCAAAUUCAAAUAAUAUAAAGUUUAAUAAUCCAGUUGGAAUUGGAGUUUUUCCUUAGCUUCAGAGUAUAGGGCCAGGCCCUAGAGGCUGGGGCAGAGGGUUUUCCCACUUCCGUCUCCUCUAUAUCAGUCCAGUUUUGUAUACUUCAGAAUCUUAGCAGUAGAUAGAAAGCAAACAAGAACAGGUCUAAUCUUCAGAAGUGACUGGGCCUGAAUCUUCCAGUUGAACCAAGAAGAGCAUGCCACUCCUGACUGGGCUGACCAUGCUCCUUCCUCCUCCAACACCCGGAAGCCAGUCCCACAUGGCAAGAAGGAAGUGCUAGUCACAAGACCCAACUGCCACUCCCAGUUGGGCCCUUCCCCCACAAACUGUCAGUCUUGUUUCCUUUCCACAAUAUAAAAGAUGUACAUAUACAUGGAACAUAUGACUUGGACUUUGUAAGAGGAAUAAUUCUACAGGAGACAGCCCUAAAGUUUACAAUGGAAGGCUCAGCACUCAAUCGACUGUGAGAGCAGCUCUCUGUACAUUGAAAAGCACCAAAGCUUAGUGGGAAGUUCAUGAAGAUAAUACAAAGCCUGAAAGGGUAGCCAUCAUCUGCCAAUAUGAGUACAAGUUGGGGGAAUAAGCCUCCAAGGUAUAUUACACUGGUUUUAAGAAAACUGUACAUCCAUGGAAAUUUGGAGGAAAACACUUGACUAAUUCAGGAAAAUUCACAAAAUAAUGUUUACAUAUGUUAUUUCAUUUUGUAUUUUUGUAUUAUUUUAUAUUUU
RNAcentral lists this long non-coding RNA (785 nucleotides) under Monodelphis domestica (gray short-tailed opossum). RNAcentral's name for it is "lncRNA (ENSMODG00000043914.1)". The record is from RNAcentral. Lineage: Eukaryota; Metazoa; Chordata; Mammalia; Didelphimorphia; Didelphidae.